This 45-nucleotide non-coding RNA is filed under the name Nematostella vectensis (starlet sea anemone). Lineage: Eukaryota; Metazoa; Cnidaria; Anthozoa; Actiniaria; Edwardsiidae. The record is from RNAcentral.
GCCAUGCUGACGAGUCCCAAUAAGGACGAAACAGCUGUCCAUGGU